Molecule: long non-coding RNA, 398 nt
Filed under: Pan paniscus (pygmy chimpanzee)
Lineage: Eukaryota; Metazoa; Chordata; Mammalia; Primates; Hominidae
Description: lncRNA (ENSPPAG00000044479.1)
Source: RNAcentral
GGGCGAAGUAGGGGCGUGGCAGGAGCCCCGCUCCGCGGAUCCAGGUUGAAAUUCCUCCCUCCUGGAAUCCGACCGUGAGCAUUUCUGAGCGGUGGUGAGGAGGAGGCCACCAAGACACUUCCCUCCCGCUGUGCAAAGGAACGCAGGAGCCCGGCGCAGAUGGAAACCUUUUGAGAAGAGAGACCAGGACUGCUUGAUCUUAAAUUCCCUCUCAGCGUCUGGCUCCCUGUGGUGGUCACUAAAUAACGGCUGGCUAAGUGAUGGCUCUAUAACAGCUCUAUAUAAACAUUACUACGCAAUAUUUAUCACAUGUUCACUAUGUACCAGGAAUUUUCUACAUAUUCUACAUGUAUUAUCUCAUUCAUUUUUAUAAAAAUCCAAAGAUUAUUAUGGUUUAA